This 75-nucleotide antisense RNA is filed under the name Mycobacterium basiliense. Its description in RNAcentral is "ASpks". It matches the Rfam family "ASpks TB sRNA". Lineage: Bacteria; Bacillati; Actinomycetota; Actinomycetes; Mycobacteriales; Mycobacteriaceae. The record is from RNAcentral.
UUUAACCGAUCCCAACCACAACGGACACUGCGGAUCACGGUCCUGGCCGUAAGUCGCCAGGAUUGCCUGGGCUUC